AUAAUUAUAAAAAAUUAAGUAUGCCACUUAGGGCGAUGCCCACCUGAUCCGGUCACUCUGUGCCGGAUCAGGUUCUUUUA
RNAcentral lists this small RNA (80 nucleotides) under Salmonella enterica subsp. enterica serovar Typhimurium str. SL1344. RNAcentral describes it as "STnc1010". Lineage: Bacteria; Pseudomonadati; Pseudomonadota; Gammaproteobacteria; Enterobacterales; Enterobacteriaceae. RNAcentral also lists the same sequence under 1 other name. The record is from RNAcentral.